AGGACGAACGCUGGCGGCGUGCUUAACACAUGCAAGUCGAGCGGAAAGGCCCUUCGGGGUACUCGAGCGGCGAACGGGUGAGUAACACGUGAGCAACCUGCCCCUGGCUCUGGGAUAGCCUCCGGAAACGGGGAUUAAUACCGGACAUGACCUGCUGCCGCAUGGUGGCGGGUGGAAAGUUUUUCGGCCAGGGUGGGGCUCGCGGCCUAUCAGCUUGGUUGGGGGGGUGACGGCCCACCAAGGCGACGACGGGUAGCCGGCCUGAGAGGGCGACCGGCCACACUGGGACUGAGACACGGCCCAGACUCCUACGGGAGGCAGCAGUGGGGAAUAUUGCGCAAUGGGCGGAAGCCUGACGCAGCGACGCCGCGUGCGGGAUGGAAGGCCUUCGGGUUGUAAACCGCUUUCACCAGGGGCGAAGCGAGAGUGACGGUACCUGGGGAAGAAGCGCCGGCUAACGUACGUGCCAGCAGCCGC
This 477-nucleotide ribosomal RNA is filed under the name uncultured bacterium. RNAcentral describes it as "SSU rRNA". It matches the Rfam family "Bacterial small subunit ribosomal RNA", at positions 26 to 518 of the family's 1533-position model. The record is from RNAcentral.